Long non-coding RNA from Phyllostomus discolor (pale spear-nosed bat), 156 nucleotides. RefSeq lists it as uncharacterized. The transcript is spliced from 3 exons. The record is from RefSeq and is a predicted model, not a curated record. NCBI's taxonomy places the organism in Eukaryota, Metazoa, Chordata, Mammalia, Chiroptera, Phyllostomidae.
CUGACUAUAUAUAGCAUAUUGGACUAAAGGAAAACUAACAAAUUACUUCGUAAGAAUUAGGAACUUUACCAAAGGCCUGAUUUGAUCAUUCUAGCUUAAUCUAGAACUUCCUGUAUUUUAAUAGAGCCAUAGUGAAUUUCCUCAAUCUAACAAAAA